RNAcentral lists this ribosomal RNA (277 nucleotides) under uncultured soil bacterium. RNAcentral describes it as "partial 16S ribosomal RNA". It matches the Rfam family "Bacterial small subunit ribosomal RNA", at positions 26 to 285 of the family's 1533-position model. The record is from RNAcentral.
AGAAUCAACGCUGGCGGCGUGCCUAACACAUGCAAGUCGAGCGCGAAAGGGGAGCAAUCCCCAAGUAGAGCGGCGAACGGGUGAGUAACGCGUGGGUAAUCUACCUUCGAGUGGGGAAUAACAGCGGGAAACUGCUGCUAAUACCGCAUGACAUCGUCGAUCCUUCGGGACUGACGAUCAAAGCCGGGGACCGUAAGGCCUGGCGCUUGAAGACGAGCCCGCGUCCGAUUAGCUAGUUGGCGGGGUUAAUGGCCCACCGAAGGCUUCGAGUCGGGUA